Tachysurus vachellii is the source of this 6440-nucleotide RNA transcript. It is a transcript of the gene named myelin-oligodendrocyte glycoprotein-like, with no coding region annotated. Lineage: Eukaryota; Metazoa; Chordata; Actinopteri; Siluriformes; Bagridae. The transcript is spliced from 9 exons. The record is from RefSeq and is a predicted model, not a curated record.
ACGUCUAAAUUCAAUUAAAAUUGUUAGUGAAAUUUCCCAUUAUUAUCCUCUUGCGUAUGUGGUUCUGCGCAUGCGCGUUAAACACAACCAGUCUUCCGCCGUGACGUAAUCUAAAAUAUUCGCCUAGUUGAUUUUGUUCCUGUUUCCUAAAGAACCUUUUUAAUAAUGUUCUACAUCAUGAACUGGAGAUGUUUAUUAUUCUUCAUGGUCCAUCUGCUGAUACACAAUGUGUUGGUGCAGAGCAUUGAGACUCGUGAAGCCUUCGUAGGUGAUACAGUCAUCUUACCAUGUUCCAUCAACCGCACUGUAGUUAGUGUGGAUGUAUUUUGGCGAGAUAAUGAAGAAAAAGUUUUGGUUGAUAUCAUCAAGAGUAAAGAAGAUUUUUCUGAGCAGAGCCCAGAAUACAGAGACAGAGUUCAAACUUUUCAAACUGAUAUUACAAACGGAAACUUCUCCAUCAAGCUGAGUAAUGUGACGCUCUCUGACUCGAGAAAUUACACCUGCAACACCCCAACAUCUAUUCAGAAAGUACAGUUAAGUGUUAAAGGUUUAAUAACCCAGUCUCUCACACUGCAGGGUCAGUAUACAAACCAACAAAGUGGUGACAUGACAAUAAGAGCAAGCAGCAUGUUCCUUCUGGGGUUCAGUCUGCUGUACAGUUUGGACCUUUGAAGACAACAUGAAGUUCAAGAUGUAUAAAUAAAAAAUAUUGCAGGAGGAGGGAGAAGACCGUCAGUCCGGCUCAGGAAUAGCAUCACCAACAACCCCACAUUCAUGGCUGUGUGCUCAGUCCACUGCUGUUCACUUUGCUGAUUUACAACAGCUCAGCAAUGCUCAGCUUCAGCCACAAUAUGAGAUUGGCCUAGUACACAGUACACAGUGUAUUACAGUGGUGUGUGAGCUGGUGACAGUACAGUGUAUUACAGUGAUGUGUGUGAGCUGGUGACAGUACAGUGUAUUACAGUGAUGUGUGUGUGAGCUGGUGACAGUACAGUGUAUUACAGUGAUGUGUGUGUGAGCUGGUGACAGUACAGUGUAUUACAGUGAUGUGUGAGCUGGUGACAGUACAGUGUAUUACAGUGGUGUGUGUGAGCUGGUGACAGUACAGUGUAUUACAGUGAUGUGUGAGCUGGUGACAGUACAGUGUAUUACAGUGAUGUGUGAGCUGGUGACAGUACAGUGUAUUACAGUGAUGUGUGUGAGCUGGUGACAGUACAGUGUAUUACAGUGACGUGUGUGAACUGGUGACAGUACAGUGUAUUACAGUGAUGUGUGUGAGCUGGUGACAGUACAGUGUAUUACAGUGAAGUUAUUGACUGUUUUUAUAGUAUUCGCUUUUCGGGUUUUGCACUUUGCAGACGGUCCCUUGGAAUCUGUCUCAGGUGUAUGUUUAUAUAAAUAUACAGGAAAAUUUGAUUUAAAUCGUAAAAUUGAAUUUUUUGUGAAAAAAGCAGGGAUUUUUAUUUUAGGCCAUAUCGCCCAGCCCUUGUACUUUCACAACCAAGACACUGGUACGCUGUGUCAUCAACGCUGCGAAAAAUGCGAACCAUACCUCCUGAUACAAUACUAUAAUGCAUUCCUGCUUCACCUUCACUAUUCAUUAAACAUGCUUUUUGCCUUCCUUGUGUAAAAAGGUACCUAGUGCAUGCUGAAAUGAAACAAACUUAGGUUAAAUGCUUUAGCAUAUAACACCAUUACCCAUAUUUAGUGUAUAUUUAAACAAUAUACAACAAAUUUUAACCUUCAUAAAGUCACCAACAAUCUUGAAAAUGUUGCUAUGUGACUGAGCAGCAUCUCAUACUUGAACAGAAUUGGGUCACAAAGAAGCCACACUCACUGACAGCCCAUUGGACUAGCUGGAUAGCAGUCUCAGAGAGUUUUGUGCGUGUCCAUUAAAUGUGCAUCUGCUGAAACUGAUUUCUCUUGUCAAUUUUUAUCUUCAGCUGACAAGCCUUCAUUUUCGCAAGUUCAUGAGUAAUGUAUUGGCCGCCAUGUGAUGUACCCCAAUGAUGUUAACACUGCUGGAGUAACUAUUUUCUGUUUCUAGAAACCAGGACUGUUUUUACGUGAGUUAUACAUUACGUUUAUAAACUAUACAUAAAAAAAAAACUAGUUUAGUCAUUUAGCAGGUAUACGUUUUUCUUUGCUCUCAUUUAUAGCAAGAGACAUUUAUUUUGUGGCCAAGUCACACAUGAUUUGUGACCUUUACAGAUACAUUUUUUUGGUCAUAAGAAUUGCCUGUACAUUUUAUAUUAGAACAUUUGUUUAUUUUGCAGUAAUAACACUAUUGGAGUGUACUGAAAAAACUACAUAGUGAUGUGUACUGCCAUCUAGUGGGAAAAUUAUUGCUGAUUUACUAUGGAACGUUUAAUUUGUCAUGCACAGUUAUACAGGGUACAAUGCAUAGUGACAUUCUGAGAGGUUGAGUACAGGUGAGAAUAUACAGUGUAUAUAUUAUAAGUAUAUUAAAAAAUAAUAGAAUAUAAUAGUUAAAAAUAUAUAGCCAAAAAUGUUAAAGAAUGAUUUAAAAAGGAGUUUAUUGAUUUAAAAACAACUGUAUUGUUUCCGCUAAAGAAAAUAGUGCGCUCCGUCUCUACGGUUAGAAUGCUGGGUGUCCAUGGCAACGCUCCGUUUUUCAUGGCAACGGUGUGUUAUAGUUCGCAGCGGUCUGUUAUCAAGAAAUAAAAUAGAAUGAAAAGAAUUCGUCCACAUGCCGCUCAAAAUAAAUAAAUAAAAUAAAAAUAAAAACUGAGCACAACUCCACCCCUGGUCUAGGCAGCUUUUUGUGUUAAAUUAUAUUUCCUGUCGCUGCGCAGGCUCUUUUAUUGUACAUGACAGCUUAUGUCCCGAUGACCGGUCUUUGCAUUACGAUUAAAAGCAGUAUGAAUAAAGUAAAAAAUGUGAUGUGUGGUCAAGUUCGAGUGUGUGCACUGUUUAAACGUGUUCUCAACUUCUCACUGAUUCUUUUGUGAUUCGCGGAGUUUUGACAAGUUUUAUAGCCUCGAUAUUGUUUCUUAUUCAAAAGUGGUGACAGAAAAAACUCAGCACCCCCCAACCUGAAACCUCUUCCCAAGCCCCUGUCACAAUCACAUCAUAAUCAAAAUGAAUAAUUAGGCUUAAAAGCAAAUGUAUAUGUAAGGGAAUCAAGUUUAACGAUUACAUGUAAUAUUGCUCCAAAUAUCAUCAAUAAUGGUGUGUGCAAUACAUACAUACAUACAUACAUACAUACAUACAACACAGGCCGUUUGGUAGGACUUUGGGCUGUUUUAAACCAAGUUUGGGUUGAAAAUUGUGGGUUUGGGUCGGGAACACAGACGUUAAAGAGAGCAUGCACGUCAACGUUAAAAUCGGACGACACCAGUGCGCGAAGCCGCCAUCUUCUUUGCGUCUUCAGAUAAAAGCGAGUGAAAUUCUGUCUGAAACGUAUGUUAUUCAAUAUGUAUUUAACGAUGUUCAUAGCCAUAAAAAAAAUCUGCUUUACUGUAUACACUAAUGUUAUAAGCACAAUUUAGGCUUUCAGUCAGGCUUUCAGUGAGACUAUCUCGCGGCCGUGACAGCCGUGCUCCAACUCAUGACAGAUCCCAGAACAGUGAACAGGAGAGCGUGCGUGGCAUCUUCAUCGGAGCUUGGAAGGAAAUAGGGUAAAUGCUUUUAUAUAUUACUUGUGUACGUGUUAAAUCUACUUUAUUAUAAAUGAUUUUGUGUUAGAUACGGUUUUGAUACGGCGUUUACUUGAUGGUAACGUAUUUUGUUAGACUUAAGUAAAGUUGGUCACAUUCACAGAUUGGAGUUUCCCGAGUCAAUAACUCCUGAGCUAAACACUGUUACUACACAAAACACGGUUGUAGCUGCGUCUCUACAUUACUACGAUAGAAAAGAGGUGUUUUUGGGUUGUUUUUAACCCAGCAGUUUUUAGAGUGUUUAUAUAUACACACCCCUACAGUUUUGAUCUUAGGCUUUUCAUUAAGUUAUUUAUUUCCACUUUAACACUUGUGUUCCUGAUAUUAUUGCAUUUAAUGAGGCCUCGUUGUAUUUAUUCUUACAAUAGAUUCCAGAUGUGGUCAAGCUACAAUUUUUGACUAAAACUAGACUAAAAUUAAAAGACUUUUAGUCGACUAAAACUUGACUAAGAUACCUUGAGUUUUCUUUUGACUAAAACUAGACUAAAAUGACGAGACUUUUAGUCGACUAAAACUAAGACUAACAAAAAAGAUAUGUGAAUGACUAAAUAUGACUAAAACUAACAAGGACAUUUGGCACAAGACUAAGACUAAAUUAAAAAUAGGUGACGAAAUUAACACUACUGCCAUUUGCAAAUUGUAGUGAUAUGCAAGUUUAGUGCAACGUAUUGGGAAUAUUGAUAAAAGUAGUUGGUAAAAGCGGUCUUUAUUAUAACAGGAAUCAUUUAUUUAUAUACACACACACCAAACCCGUUUCCAAAAAAGUUGGAACACUGUACAAAUUAAUUGUGAAUAAAAACAGAAUGCAAUGAUGUGGAAGUUUCAAAUUUCAAUAUUUUAUUCAGAACACAAUAUAGAUGACAUAUCAAAUGUUUAAACUAAGAAAAUGUAUCAACUUAUGAAAACUAAGUUGAUUUGGCAUCAACUCAUCUCAAAAAAGUUGGGACAAGGCCAUGUUUACCACUGGGUGGCAUCCCGUCUUCUUUUUAUAACAGUCUGCAAACGUCUGGGGACUGAGGAGACAAGCUGCUCAAGUUUAGGAAUAGGAAUGUUGUCCCAUUCAUGUCUAAUACAGGCUUCUAGUUGCUCAACUGCCUUAGGUCUUCUUUGUCGCAUCUUCCUCUUUAUGAUGCAUCAAAUGUUUUCUAUGGGUGAAAGAUCUGGACUGCAGGCUGGCCACUUCAGUACCCGGAUCCUUCUACUAUUAUUAGUGUGAAGCGUUUACUAUACUAGUCCCUGUGAAUGAGCCGUUACUGUAGGAGUGAUUUAUAUUACAGUGAGGACUUCUGUCUGAUCUGCUGCUGUUAGAGAACAUGACUGUACACCUUCUGGUCUGGGAAUCUAACUGUGAUGUCAUACAUGAAUUAAUCUGACAUUAAUGUGACUGAUGUUAGAGUGAGUUUUGAAGUGGGGAUGAGGGAGGAAAAGAGCAGCUGUGGUUAUAACUACAUUGUAGACUUCCGCACACUUCUGCAUCUGAACUUGAACAGAAGUGUUUCCUGACUUAAACACACUUACUGCAGUGUGUCUCGAGCGUCUGGACAGCAUUUGACUGUCAGCAUGAGGAUCUUAGUGCUUCAGUUUUGUGAGUAGAUUCACAAGUUUGUGAUUAAAUUGUGUAACUUUUCACUGCAUAACUUUGUCCUACUGAUUUUCUGUAAAUUAUUCUAAUCUAACUUCUUGUGUGUUUGUGUUUCCUGAUCAGAUCUACUUGUGUUCUGUGGAGCUGCUGAAUGUUUCACACAGAAGUUUGUAGAUUUGGGACAAAAUGUGACUUUAAAGUGUGAUGUGUCUUUAAGUAAUGUGUACUGGUUCCUGAUGAAGGCGUCAGAACCUCCAGUGUUAAUAUUACGCUCUUUCAACAGCAAAUCCGUGAGGGCAGAUUACAGUAACACAACCUUCAACAAGAGAUUCUCACUGCAGUAUAACAGCAGUUUAUUUAUACACAAUAUCAGUACUAAUGAAUUAGGAGUCUAUUGUUGUAUUCAAACUCAUACUGAUUCACCUCCAAACAUCAGCCGUGGAAUCAGACUUUACAUCCACAGUCACUCAGCUGAGAAUCAGACACGUAACACUGAGCUUCUGCAGGAUCAGACAGGAACCGGGUUCCAGACGAGUCUCAUCAUCUCAGUAAUAAUGAACUGUGUUCUGGUCAUUACAGGUGUCACAGUUUUUACAGUUCAGCGCUGCAGAAGAUCUCCAAAAACUCAGACACAACCUCCUGGUUCAUCACAGCAGCAACAAAACAACGGCAACCUCGUGUACUCUGAGGUGCAGUUCCUUACGACAACCAGACCUACCAGGACGUCUGACCAGAACUGCACGUACGCUCUUGUAAAACCCCGAACACAUGACCUGGAGUGACCCGGCGUGACCCCACAGACUACACGUUUCAUCACACUGUAGGAAGUGAGAUGUUCUUAUCAUUUCUGACAUCGGUGCACUCGAGCUACCAAGUGGUUGGAAACUUCUCUAUACCAUCUAACCACCAUGAGCCCUGUGCAUCUAUCUACAACCUGCAGAGUCAGUGUCAUAGAUUUAACAAGUAAAUGUAGUGGAACUCAUUUAAACAUAUGAUUUUUUUUUUGUUGCAUUAACUGGUGAAGUUCUGAGCUGAUCUCUGUCUCGAGGAGACGGAGACGAAAUCCUGAGGCUCUUUGUUUUUUUUUUCAUAGUGAGAUAUUAGAAAUGACACGUUAUGACCUUUAGUUCAAUGCCACAUUUAUGUAACUUUAAGUGCAAUAAACUGUUAUAAAUAUA